CACUCGCACACAUUUGAUCUAACCCGGGAAGACCAGACUAGCCUGUGAACUGUCGUUACUCAUGGAACUAGGUUAACUCCACGAUGUUAACAGGGAGAAAGAGGAGAGCCGAUAUCUGGACACAUUUCUCAUUUAACGUCAUGAAAAACAAGAUGAUGUGUAAACCAUGUGGGGCGACGAUCUCGGAUGAGGCUCUACAGUACAAACACAGCAGCUUCUUGUUCUUCUUAUGAUGUUUAAUGGCGGUUGGCAGAACAACUUAAGACGCACCAGCGCCACCAACUGGACUGGAGUUGAACAGCAGCUUAGCAGUAAAACAUCUCCAUUAGCCCUGUAUCUCUCACCUACAGUGUUGGGGGGAACGCGGUACAGUCACGUGAUUACUUUUUAUCUGUAACGAAGUCAUGUAACGCGUUACAGUUACAUAUUUGUAAUGACAUUACAGUUACUGUGAUGAGAGAUGAGUCGUUCCCGAACGAACCGAUUCUAUUGAACGACUCUUUAAAAUGAACUAAAGGAACCGAGUCGCUCCUCUAGUAUAAGGACAAAUAAUUAAGGAAUAAACUUGUUUAUGUUAAAUCUGA
This is a long non-coding RNA of Trichomycterus rosablanca, 584 nucleotides long. RefSeq lists it as uncharacterized. Lineage: Eukaryota; Metazoa; Chordata; Actinopteri; Siluriformes; Trichomycteridae. The record is from RefSeq and is a predicted model, not a curated record. The transcript is spliced from 2 exons.